UACGAAGGGUGCAAACGUUGCUCGGAAUUAUUGGGCGUAAAGCGCACGUGAGGCGGCUUUUCAAGUCCCAUGUGAAAGCCCACGGCUUAACCGUGGAAGUGCAUGGGAAACUGGAAAGCUUGAGUACUUAAGAGGAUCGCGGAAUUCCCGGUGUAGAGGUGAAAUUCGUAGAUAUCGGGAGGAACACCAGUGGCGAAGGCGG
This 202-nucleotide ribosomal RNA is filed under the name uncultured bacterium. RNAcentral's name for it is "partial 16S ribosomal RNA". It matches the Rfam family "Bacterial small subunit ribosomal RNA", at positions 524 to 724 of the family's 1533-position model. The record is from RNAcentral.